This 661-nucleotide long non-coding RNA is filed under the name Cicer arietinum (chickpea). RNAcentral's name for it is "long non-coding RNA (CARI_LNC003494)". Lineage: Eukaryota; Viridiplantae; Streptophyta; Magnoliopsida; Fabales; Fabaceae. The record is from RNAcentral.
GAAACUUGAAUGUACAUUAAAUAUUUGGUGAAAAAUAUAAAAUCAUAAAUAGAUAAUACUUACUUUACAAAUCUAAAAUAUUUGAGAAGUGAGUAGGUGUGAGUCGUCUUUCUUAAUAUUAUGAACUUUUAAUAAAUCUAAAAUCGUAAAAUAUGGGGAUAAAAAUUCAAAAAGUGGUAAAUAAAGGAGGCUAAAAUAUGUGUUUGUUCACUAUAAUGAAAUCGGUUUUGUAUUUGAUAGUGAGUGAUCAAAUUUGGGAUGAACUGAUCAAUCUUAUGGUGUAAAGCUUCACAUCAAAGAUCACGAGGCUUAUUUUGAUUCAUUCAUUGUUGUUGUCUCCAUCAGCUGCAACUCUUUUAUCAGCAUCCUUAAGGAAGAAUUGGAUGCUUUCCAGUUCAACUUUAAAGUCUGAAAAUUCCCUAUGAACACCUUUGAGCAGUUUGACUUCUCUUGUUAAAAGUGAAAGCAGCUGGUCAAUACCAAAAGACACUGCCAUUUCUGUUUUGUGAGAUGAAGAUUUGUUAAGUGCAACUUUUACAGUGAGAGGAAGAUGUUGAGUUUCUCCUCCUCACCUUUAUCACAAAGAAAAGAAAAAGGCUAGCAAAUUUUAAGCAUAAUAUGCACAACAAUUAUUUUCGUUGACGCGGGCCUUUUUAUUCCC